Long non-coding RNA from Numida meleagris (helmeted guineafowl), 522 nucleotides. RefSeq lists it as uncharacterized. NCBI's taxonomy places the organism in Eukaryota, Metazoa, Chordata, Aves, Galliformes, Numididae. The transcript is spliced from 3 exons. The record is from RefSeq and is a predicted model, not a curated record.
CAACUGCACAAUGCCAUGUUUCUGUUACUCUGCAAGUUUAAAUAUGUCAGAUUGAUAUGAAAGACAGAUGCAAUAACUGAAUCAUUCAGAUUUUAAGCAGUGAAGCCCCAGAGCAGUGCAAAACCAAUGUCACAUGGUGGUCAGUGAAACUGAGAACACAGCAGUACCAAGUCAGAUGGGAAGCACCAUGCAGCCAGUGGUGAAACAUAUUGAUAACUUCAGAAGACACUUGCAAAAUCUCAGCUCUGUGACUUGGGAACAUCUGGUAUGGCACAGGCUAAGACCUCACUGAAGCUGUUAGUUGUCAUUUGUGGCAUCAUAGGAAUGCAUCUCUGAUGGAGUCAGAAAGUCUUAUUCUUGUGAAUAAUAACACCUCAAAUAACUUCCAUUUGAUUUUCCCACUGUUGGUUUUAUGUCAGUCCUUAGCACAGUUUCUGUGUAUGCAGCUACUUCACUGGCCAUUCACUAGCGUGUCUCCAUCAGUGCAGACCUGUGUUUUCAGUCAGGUUAGGCUGAAGAGCU